AACGCUGGCGGCAGGCUUAACACAUGCAAGUCGAGCGCCUCGCAAGAGGAGCGGCAGACGGGUGAGUAACGCGUGGGAAUCUACCCAUCUCUACGGAACAACUCCGGGAAACUGGAGCUAAUACCGUAUACGUCCUUCGGGAGAAAGAUUUAUCGGAGAUGGAUGAGCCCGCGUUGGAUUAGCUAGUUGGUGGGGUAAUGGCCUGCCAAGGCGACGAUCCAUAGCUGGUCUGAGAGGAUGAUCAGCCACACUGGGACUGAGACACGGCCCAGACUCCUACGGGAGGCAGCAGUGGGGAAUAUUGGACAAUGGGCGAAAGCCUGAUCCAGCCAUGCCGCGUGAGUGAUGAAGGCCCUAGGGUUGUAAAGCUCUUUCAACGGUGAAGAUAAUGACGGUAACCGUAGAAGAAGCCCCGGCUAACUUCGUG
RNAcentral lists this ribosomal RNA (427 nucleotides) under uncultured bacterium. RNAcentral's name for it is "bacterial SSU rRNA". It matches the Rfam family "Bacterial small subunit ribosomal RNA", at positions 32 to 507 of the family's 1533-position model. The record is from RNAcentral.